Molecule: long non-coding RNA, 1504 nt
Organism: Phascolarctos cinereus (koala)
Lineage: Eukaryota; Metazoa; Chordata; Mammalia; Diprotodontia; Phascolarctidae
Source: RefSeq, a predicted model, not a curated record
CUUUCAAACCUCGGACUUCCUGUAACCCUGUCCUACUCUCUGUCCUCUGUCCUCCCAAGUCUCCUAGGAUGUCAUGUCACGUCAGCUGAAGACAACACACAUCUGCCUCAGUCCCUAUUUCCUCUUCCUGCUGAAGCUCAUAGACUGUUAAGACCUGGAAGGGCCUUAGAGACCACCGGUCUGAGUUGUGGACUCCCUGAGCCAUCAGGUCGGGGAGCAGAGACUCAGACCUGGGCCCCCCACGCUCUGAGGCAAGGCCAUGUUCUUUCCACCGUGUGCCCGGCUGUCUCCUCCAGCAAACCGUCCAGCACUCUCUCUAUCUGGCCAGCGCAGUCUACCGGCUCCCGGAGCGGGGAAGCUUUGAUGAUGAUAACAGAAGUCUGUCUGAGGCUAGCCCCUUUUAAAUGAAGAGUUUACUUGAGGGCAGCGACCUGGCAUGAUCCUCCCUACCCGAGUUUUCCAACGUUGGGCAAUAUGCAAACCAAGCGUUAACAGAGAAAUGUCAAACUGGGCCCAUUCUACUGCCCCUCCUCCUUGCCCUUCCCCCGACUGUGUGCCUCGCUUCCUACUCUUGCCACAACCUGCGGGGGUGGAGGGGGAGGGGAGGAUGUGGUGGGGUGGUGAUGAGACUCCCAGAGCCGGGAAGUUCAGCUGCCCUCUGUGAGUUCCUGUCCAGAGCCAGGCCACUGUGGAGGAGGACAGCAUGGGAACCGAGAGCUGGGGGUCAGGGGGAGCUUUUCUUCACUCCGGGUGUGGGGACAAGCAGGGCUCAAAUUGUCUGCUUUUGAGAGUUGUCUACACCUUCUGAGGAGCAGAUCUUAAAAAGAGAGAGGGAGAGAGCUCAGGAGGUGCAGUAAAACUGGCCCACCCUGUUUAAUGCCGAUUCCAAAGACCACUCUACCUUCCAGACACCUUUGAGAUGUCCAAGGAAGUCUGAAAACUCAGGCUGGGAAAGCCCAAGAAAGACCAGCCCAUUCCCUGGCUGUUGAGACAACUGAAGAGGCAGCUGGGAUGCCAGAGAGAGUGCACUGAAUUCGAAAUGGAAGGGCUGGAUUCAAAAGCCACCUUGUUCGCUACCUGUGUCUGUGGGGAGUCCAUUCCUUAUUCUGGGCCUUCAAAGUGAGGAGGCAGGAGCGACCCUGUGGCCCCGGAACUCCGAAGGGCCCAUCCACUUCUCCCACUCCCGGAGCAUUCUUUCCUCUCUCUGAAUCCUUGUUUUCAGGAAAGGCCAAGCAGAAUGCGUCCUGAAGAGAGAUUUGGUGACUGGGAUGUCACAGAAUUUGGGAGCUGAAAGGGAGGAGGCUCGGUGGUCCUCUAGUCCAGCCCAUCCCUGAAAAGACUCCCCAUAACAUACCCAGAAGCCAUUGUCCAGCCCCUGCUUAAAGCGGGGCAGGGGGACCCCCCCCUUCCCCAGGCCCCCCACCCUCCUCCUUGUUGGAAAGCUUUCCCCCUGACUUAGGAAGUCUAGAUUUGCCUCUUUGCCGCUCCUGAUUUUGCAGGUCAG